UAAGACGUAGGGUGCAAGCGUUGUCCGGAUUUACUGGGCGUAAAGAGCGCGUAGGCGGCUCGUUAAGUGUGAAGUGAAAUCUCCAGGGCUCAACCCGGAAACCGCUUCGCAUACUGGCGAGCUGGAGGAAUGCAGAGGUUAGUGGAAUUCCUGGUGUAGCGGUGAAAUGCGUAGAUAUCAGGAGGAACACCCAUGGCGAAGGCAGCUAACUGGGCAUUAUCUGACGCUGAGGCGCGAAAGCGUGGGUAGCAAACAGGAUUAGAUACCCUGGUAGUCCACGCCCUAAACGAUGGAUACUAGGCGUAAGAGGUAUCGACCCCUCUUGUGCCGCAGCAAACGCACUAAGUAUCCCGCCUGGGGAGUACGGCCGCAAGGUUG
This 378-nucleotide ribosomal RNA is filed under the name uncultured bacterium. RNAcentral describes it as "bacterial SSU rRNA". It matches the Rfam family "Bacterial small subunit ribosomal RNA", at positions 521 to 896 of the family's 1533-position model. The record is from RNAcentral.